UUUGGGGUAAAUAAUCAUAUAGAGCUGGGCAACAUAUUGAUAUUAUAUCGAUAUUGUGAUAGGAGACUAGAUAGCAUCUUAGAUUUUGGAUAUCGUAAUAUGGCAUAAGUGGUGUCUUUUCCUGGUUUUAAAGGCUGCAUUACA
Molecule: long non-coding RNA, 144 nt
Organism: Etheostoma spectabile (orangethroat darter)
Lineage: Eukaryota; Metazoa; Chordata; Actinopteri; Perciformes; Percidae
Exons: 3
Source: RefSeq, a predicted model, not a curated record